This 468-nucleotide ribosomal RNA is filed under the name uncultured bacterium. Its description in RNAcentral is "partial 16S ribosomal RNA". It matches the Rfam family "Bacterial small subunit ribosomal RNA", at positions 28 to 507 of the family's 1533-position model. The record is from RNAcentral.
GACGAACGCUGGCGGCGUGCUUAACACAUGCAAGUCGAACGGAAAGGCCCUGCUUUUGUGGGGUGCUCGAGUGGCGAACGGGUGAGUAACACGCGAGUAACCUGCCCUUGACUUUGGGAUAACUUCAGGAAACUGGGGCUAAUACCGGAUAGGAGCUCCUGCUGCAUGGUGGGGGUUGGAAAGUUUCGGCGGUUGGGGAUGGACUCGCGGCUUAUCAGCUUGUUGGUGGGGUAGUGGCUUACCAAGGCUUUGACGGGUAGCCGGCCUGAGAGGGUGACCGGCGACAUUGGGACUAAGGUACGGCCCAGACUCCUACGGGAGGCAGCAGGGGGGAGUAUGGCACAAUAGGCGGGAGCCUGAUGCAGCGACGCCGCGUGCGGGAUGACGGCCUUCGGGUUGUAAACCGCUUUCGCCUGUGACGAAGCGUGAGUGACGGUAAUGGGUAAAGAAGCACCGGCUAACUACGUG